RNAcentral lists this long non-coding RNA (236 nucleotides) under Oryza brachyantha (malo sina). Its description in RNAcentral is "long non-coding RNA (OBRA_LNC002276)". The record is from RNAcentral. Lineage: Eukaryota; Viridiplantae; Streptophyta; Magnoliopsida; Poales; Poaceae.
CGUCUUGCCCCCCCCCCCGGCCGCCCCGGCGCCCGGCACCGUCUUCUCCACGGCCAUCUCCUCCCACCUCCCAAACCAGCACCCGCCUCCGCGCCGAGAGAGCGCGCGGAUCUGGCCGGAGGCGCGGGAAACGGGGAGGAGGUGGAGGAGGAGGCGGCCGGGAAGCUUCGGAAUCGGGGGAGGGAGUAGAAGGGAAGAGGAGACGAGGAGGGUGGCGAUGGUUAUGAGCUGUGUUU